GACGAACGCUGGCGGCGUGCUUAACACAUGCAAGUCGAGCGGUAAGGCCCUUUCGGGGUACACGAGCGGCGAACGGGUGAGUAACACGUGGGUGACCUGCCCUUAGCUCUGGGAUAAGCCUGGGAAACUGGGUCUAAUACCGGAUAUGACUCCAUAACGCAUGUUGUGGGGUGGAAAGCCUUGUGCGGCUAGGGAUGGGCCCGCGGCCUAUCAGCUUGUUGGUGGGGUGAUGGCCACCAAGGCGACGACGGGUAGCCGGCCUGAGAGGGCGACCGGCCACACUGGGACUGAGACACGGCCCAGACUCCUACGGGAGGCAGCAGGUGGGGAAUCUUGCGCAAUGGGCGAAAGCCUGACGCAGCGACGCCGCGUGGGGA
Molecule: ribosomal RNA, 377 nt
Filed under: uncultured bacterium
Lineage: Bacteria
Description: bacterial SSU rRNA
Rfam family: Bacterial small subunit ribosomal RNA
Source: RNAcentral